Molecule: non-coding RNA, 450 nt
Organism: Paramuricea clavata
Lineage: Eukaryota; Metazoa; Cnidaria; Anthozoa; Malacalcyonacea; Plexauridae
Source: the annotation of a GenBank genome assembly
CGGUUUACGGGUACGAGUAUCGCCAUUUUGUUUACCAAUUUUUGCUGAUGUCAGCAAUUUUACCCGUAAUUUCUACCCGUUUCCCCGCGGUAAACCGGGGUCUACACGUAAACAACAAACGGGUACGGGUGGUUUCUGUUUACUAUUUUUGGCCCUUUUAAAUAGUACAAAUUUUCAGCAUCUUACCCCAAUAAAUAAUGCACAUAUGCUGGUCAAAGUUUUCAACAAUUUACGACGAACCUCAACAGCGAAAGUUGCCGUUCUUUGAUCGGUUUUCUCACGCCGGAGUAUCUUGGAUUUCUUAAGUUACAAGUUAUUCCCCGAUUUACGGGUACGUGUAUAUCACCCGUACCCGUAAACCGGAAUCGGGGUAUCUUAACCUCUCUAAUGUAAACACUUACGGCCCAGGCCUUGUUUUUAUGGCAACGUGUGUCCACAGGGCACAGUGAG